GGUUCUAUGUGUCCGCUAUAAAACCCCCAAUUUUUAAAGGUU
Molecule: ribosomal RNA, 42 nt
Filed under: Calluna vulgaris root associated fungus
Lineage: Eukaryota; Fungi
Description: partial 28S ribosomal RNA
Source: RNAcentral